GUGUCAGCCGCCGCGGUAAGACGGAGGAUGCAAGUGUUAUCCGGAAUCACUGGGCGUAAAGCGUCUGUAGGUCGUUCAAUAAGUCAACUGUUAAAUCUUGAGGCUCAACUUCAAAAUCGCAGUCGAAACUAUUAAACUAGAGUAUAGUAGGGGUAAAGGGAAUUUCCAGUGGAGCGGUGAAAUGCGUAGAGAUUGGAAAGAACACCAAUGGCGAAAGCACUUUACUGGGCUAUUACUGACACUGAGAGACGAAAGCUAGGGUAGCAAAUGGGAUUAGAAACCCCUGUAGUCC
RNAcentral lists this ribosomal RNA (292 nucleotides) under uncultured bacterium. RNAcentral describes it as "partial 16S ribosomal RNA". It matches the Rfam family "Bacterial small subunit ribosomal RNA", at positions 505 to 796 of the family's 1533-position model. The record is from RNAcentral.